GAUGAGCGCUGGCGGCGUGCCUAAUACAUGCAAGUCGAGCGAACAGACGAGGAGCUUGCUCCUCUGACGUUAGCGGCGGACGGGUGAGUAACACGUGGAUAACCUACCUAUAAGACUGGGAUAACUUCGGGAAACCGGAGCUAAUACCGGAUAAUAUAUUGAACCGCAUGGUUCAAUAGUGAAAGACGGUUUUGCUGUCACUUAUAGAUGGAUCCGCGCCGCAUUAGCUAGUUGGUAAGGUAACGGCUUACCAAGGCAACGAUGCGUAGCCGACCUGAGAGGGUGAUCGGCCACACUGGAACUGAGACACGGGCCAGACUCCUACGGGAGGCAGCAGUAGGGAAUCUUCCGCAAUGGGCGAAAGCCUGACGGAGCAACGCCGCGUGAGUGAUGAAGGUCUUCGGAUCGUAAAACUCUGUUAUUAGGGAAGAACAAAUGUGUAAGUAACUAUGCACGUCUUGACGGUACCUAAUCAGAAAGACACGGCUAACUACGUG
Molecule: ribosomal RNA, 497 nt
Filed under: uncultured bacterium
Lineage: Bacteria
Description: partial 16S ribosomal RNA
Rfam family: Bacterial small subunit ribosomal RNA
Source: RNAcentral